This 254-nucleotide ribosomal RNA is filed under the name uncultured bacterium. Its description in RNAcentral is "partial 16S ribosomal RNA". It matches the Rfam family "Bacterial small subunit ribosomal RNA", at positions 524 to 776 of the family's 1533-position model. The record is from RNAcentral.
UACGUAGGGUGCGAGCGUUGUCCGGAAUUAUUGGGCGUAAAGAGCUCGUAGGCGGUCUGUCGCGUCGGUCGUGAAAACUUGGGGCUUAACCCUGAGCUUGCGGUCGAUACGGGCAUGACUGGAGUUCGGCAGGGGAGACUGGAAUUCCUGGUGUAGCGGUGAAAUGCGCAGAUAUCAGGAGGAACACCGGUGGCGAAGGCGGGUCUCUGGGCCGAUACUGACGCUGAGGAGCGAAAGCCAGGGGAGCGAACGGG